This 252-nucleotide ribosomal RNA is filed under the name uncultured bacterium. RNAcentral's name for it is "partial 16S ribosomal RNA". It matches the Rfam family "Bacterial small subunit ribosomal RNA", at positions 524 to 776 of the family's 1533-position model. The record is from RNAcentral.
UACGUAGGGGGCAAGCGUUGUCCGGAAUUAUUGGGCGUAAAGCGCGCGCAGGCGGUUAUUUAAGUCUGGUGUUUAAACCUUGGGCUCAACCUGAGGUCGCACUGGAAACUGGGUGACUUGAGUUCAGAAGAGGAAAGUGGAAUUCCACGUGUAGCGGUGAAAUGCGUAGAGAUCAGGAGGAAUACCCGUGGCGAAGGCGGCCUUCUGGGUCCGCCCUGACGCUGAGGCGCGAAAGCGUGGGGAGCGAACGGG